GCAACAUGGCGGGCAUCUCACACACAGUGAAAAUGGAGACUAUCAGCAGACCGGGCGUAUACUUGACUUUAGCCGACACUAAGCUGGCCAUUAUGAGUGUUUAACCAGCAGCAGCGUCGCCACCAAGUUUAUAUCUUUGGGUUGCAGUUAAAAUGAGGAAAACUAGAGUUCGCUUUAUAUGCGGUGAAGAAAAGGUUAUAAACAUCAUGAUAAAUAUUUUAAUUUAUAAAAUACAGACUAUAUAGGAAUGACAACAAAGAUAAAAUUAUUUUAGAAUUGAUAAUUUUAUAUGGUAUUUUAGGUAUACUCAAACCCUAUUGGAUUCCAAGUGAAAAAUUUGUAUUAAUCCUCUCUAUCCAAAUGUUGCCCUGACAAUAAAUUUGUGAUCAAGUUUUCCGCACAUUUGGCCCCUCAA
This is a long non-coding RNA of Drosophila ficusphila, 415 nucleotides long. RefSeq lists it as uncharacterized. The record is from RefSeq and is a predicted model, not a curated record. NCBI's taxonomy places the organism in Eukaryota, Metazoa, Arthropoda, Insecta, Diptera, Drosophilidae. The transcript has 2 exons.